Molecule: ribosomal RNA, 253 nt
Filed under: uncultured bacterium
Lineage: Bacteria
Description: partial 16S ribosomal RNA
Rfam family: Bacterial small subunit ribosomal RNA
Source: RNAcentral
UACGUAGGGUGCAAGCGUUGUCCGGAAUUAUUGGGCGUAAAGAGCUCGUAGGCGGUUUGUCACGUCGGAUGUGAAAACGCCGUGCUUAACACGGCGCUUGCUUUCGAUACGGGCAGACUAGAGGUAUGCAGGGGAGAACGGAAUUCCUGGUGUAGCGGUGAAAUGCGCAGAUAUCAGGAGGAACAUCAGUGGCGAAGGCGGCUCACUGGCCCGGAACUGACGCUGAGGUGCGAAAGCGUGGGGAGCAAACAGG